RNAcentral lists this ribosomal RNA (984 nucleotides) under Brachyspira hyodysenteriae. RNAcentral's name for it is "bacterial SSU rRNA". It matches the Rfam family "Bacterial small subunit ribosomal RNA", at positions 397 to 1398 of the family's 1533-position model. Lineage: Bacteria; Pseudomonadati; Spirochaetota; Spirochaetia; Brachyspirales; Brachyspiraceae. The record is from RNAcentral.
UCGCGUGAGGGAUGAAGGCCUUCGGGUUGUAAACCUCGGAAAUUAUCGAAGAAUGAGUGACAGUAGAUAAUGUAAGCCUCGGCUAACUACGUGCCAGCAGCCGCGGUAAUACGUAGGAGGCAAACGUUGCUCGGAUUUACUGGGCGUAAAGGGUGAGUAGGCGGACUUAUAAGUCUAAGGUGAAAGACCGAAGCUCAACUUCGGAAACGCCUCGGAUACUGUAAGUCUUGGAUAUUGUAGGGGAUGAUGGAAUUCUCGGUGUAGCGGUGGAAUGCGCAGAUAUCGAGAGGAACACCUAUAGCGAAGGCAGUCAUCUGGGCAUUUAUCGACGCUGAAUCACGAAAGCUAGGGGAGCAAACAGGCUUAGAUACCCUGGUAGUCCUAGCCGUAAACGUUGUACACUAGGUGCUUCUAUUUAAAUAGGAGUGCCGUAGCUAACGUCUUAAGUGUACCGCCUGAGGAGUAUGCCCGCAAGGGUGAAACUCAAAGAAAUUGACGGGUCCCCGCACAAGUGGUGGAGCAUGUGGUUUAAUUCGAUGAUACGCGAAAAACCUUACCUGGGUUUGAAUUGUAAGAUGAAUGAUUUAGAGAUAAGUCAGACCGCAAGGACGUUUUACAUAGGUGCUGCAUGGCUGUCGUCAGCUCGUGUCGUGAGAUGUUGGGUUAAGUCCCGCAACGAGCGCAACCCUCACCCUUUGUUGCUACCGAGUAAUGUCGGGCACUCUUAGGGGACUGCCUACGUUCAAGUAGGAGGAAGGUGGGGAUGAUGUCAAGUCCUCAUGGCCCUUAUGUCCAGGGCUACACACGUGCUACAAUGGCAAGUACAAAGAGAAGCAAGACCGCGAGGUGGAGCAAAACUCAAAAAAGUUGCCUCAGUUCGGAUUGGAGUCUGAAACUCGACUCCAUGAAGUUGGAAUCACUAGUAAUCGUAGAUCAGAACGCUACGGUGAAUACGUUCCCGGGGGAUUGUACACACCGCCCGUC